RNAcentral lists this ribosomal RNA (502 nucleotides) under uncultured bacterium. RNAcentral describes it as "bacterial SSU rRNA". It matches the Rfam family "Bacterial small subunit ribosomal RNA", at positions 26 to 518 of the family's 1533-position model. The record is from RNAcentral.
AGAACGAACGCUGGCGGCGCGUUUAAGCAUGCAAGUCGAGCGGCAAGGGCCUUCGGGCCCCUAGAGCGGCGGACGGGUGAGUAACACGUGGACAAUCUGCCCCCCGGCCCGGGAUAGCCCAGGGAAACCUGGAUUAAUACCGGAUGAGACGGGACCCGCGAUGGCGGGACCCGGGAAGGCGCUGCGGCGCCGCCGGGGGAUGAGUCUGCGUCCCAUUAGCUAGACGGCGGGGUAACGGCCCACCGUGGGCGACGAUGGGUAGCCGGCCUGAGAGGGUGGACGGCCACAUUGGAACUGAGACACGGUCCAGACUCCUACGGGAGGCAGCAGCUAAGAAUCUUCCGCAAUGGGCGAAAGCCUGACGGAGCGACGCCCGCGUGAACGAAGAAGGCCGUGAGGUUGUAAAGUUCUUUUCGGGAGGGGGAACAACCGUGGCAGGGAAUGGCCGCGGGAUGACGUGAAUCCCGGAAUAAGCCCCGGCUAACUACGUGCCAGCAGCCGC